Non-coding RNA from Mycena galericulata, 96 nucleotides. NCBI's taxonomy places the organism in Eukaryota, Fungi, Basidiomycota, Agaricomycetes, Agaricales, Mycenaceae. The record is from the annotation of a GenBank genome assembly.
GCCGCUGUGGACCAUGGAGGUCGCCCUCGCCCAAUGCUGAGUUGUACGAGACAGAUCUUACAGAGGGAGAUGGAGGUUCGAUUCCUCCCGGCAGCA